UUGUGUGCUGGAAUCUCUAGUUCUGCUCCUCGUUCUUUCGGGAACAAGAUUGUCUGUGGCAUGUUAUAUAAAAUAAAGGAGUUUAGAGAGCCACCAGUCAUAUAGUGAAGAUUAAGUGGUAUUCUUUCUUGUACAGAA
Suricata suricatta (meerkat) is the source of this 138-nucleotide small nucleolar RNA. NCBI's taxonomy places the organism in Eukaryota, Metazoa, Chordata, Mammalia, Carnivora, Herpestidae. The record is from Ensembl.